This 474-nucleotide ribosomal RNA is filed under the name uncultured organism. Its description in RNAcentral is "partial 16S ribosomal RNA". It matches the Rfam family "Bacterial small subunit ribosomal RNA", at positions 335 to 800 of the family's 1533-position model. The record is from RNAcentral.
ACUCCUGCGGGAGGCAGCAGUGGGGAAUAUUGCACAAUGGGCGCAAGCCUGAUGCAGCCAUGCCGCGUGUAUGAAGAAGGCCUUCGGGUUGUAAAGUACUUUCAGCGGGGAGGAAGGCGAUAAGGUUAAUAACCUUGUCGAUUGACGUUACCCGCAGAAGAAGCACCGGCUAACUCCGUGCCAGCAGCCGCGGUAAUACGGAGGGUGCAAGCGUUAAUCGGAAUUACUGGGCGUAAAGCGCACGCAGGCGGUCUGUCAAGUCGGAUGUGAAAUCCCCAGGCUCAACCUGGGAACUGCAUUCGAAACUGGCAGGCUAGAGUCUUGUAGAGGGGGGUAGAAUUCCAGGUGUAGCGGUGAAAUGCGUAGAGAUCUGGAGGAAUACCGGUGGCGAAGGCGGACCCCUGGACAAAGACUGACGCUCAGGUGCGAAAGCGUGGGGAGCAAACAGGAUUAGAAACCCCAGUAGUCCCAUGA